GAUGAACGCUGGCGGCGUGCUUAACACAUGCAAGUCGAACGAGAAGUGAAGACGGAAACCUUCGGGCGGAAGGCUUUAUUUCGAGUGGCGGACGGGUGAGUAACGCGUGGGUAACCUGCCUCAUACAGGGGGAUAACAGUUGGAAACGACUGUUAAUACCGCAUAAGACCACAGCACCGCAUGGUGCGGGGGUAAAAACUCCGGUGGUAUGAGAUGGACCCGCGUUCGAUUAGCCAGUUGGCGGGGUAACGGCCCACCAAAGCGACGAUCGAUAGCCGAUCUGAGAGGAGGACAGGCCACAUUGGGACUGAGACACGGCCCAAACUCCUACGGGAGGCAGCAGUGGGGAAUAUUGCACAAUGGGGGAAACCCUGAUGAAGCGACGCCGCGUGAGUGAAGAAGUAUUUCGGUAUGUAAAGCUCUAUCAGCAGGGAAGAAAAUGACGGUACCUGAGUAAGAAGCCCCGGCUAACUACGUG
Molecule: ribosomal RNA, 478 nt
Filed under: uncultured bacterium
Lineage: Bacteria
Description: partial 16S ribosomal RNA
Rfam family: Bacterial small subunit ribosomal RNA
Source: RNAcentral